This 400-nucleotide long non-coding RNA is filed under the name Mus musculus (house mouse). RNAcentral's name for it is "long non-coding RNA chr10:63244147-63244547". The record is from RNAcentral. Lineage: Eukaryota; Metazoa; Chordata; Mammalia; Rodentia; Muridae.
UGCCCUGAGAGACCCGGUGAGUCGUUGCCCCCCGUGGGUUCGGGGUAGUGUGACGGAGGCGAGCUCCGCUGGGGCCUUGGGGAAGGGCGCCAGCGUCCUCAACGUUUUCCGGGGCCGGAGUGGUGCACCGCCCUCGGGGAAAGGGUCUCCCUGGGGCCGAGGCCGUGGGGCUGAGCCCGGUGGGGUGAACCCUCUCCCCGGCUCGCCCAUAGGUAGCUGCGGGAGUUUGGCUGGCCGGCCCGUGAGGCUGGGUGUGUGCAGACCAUUCCUCUGCCCCGGGCCGCGGGAGCUGAUCGUGAGGUGCAUGGUCAGAGAAAGAGGAAACCAAACUGCCUUGCGUUCUCCUACCUGUUGCUGGCGAGAGAACGUCUUUCCCAUACUGGUUCUGACUUUUUGGAGG